Molecule: non-coding RNA, 145 nt
Filed under: unclassified sequences
Source: RNAcentral
UCUUCAGAAAAUGACAAGCCUGUGGGGCGUAAGUAAAUAGAUAAAUAUAUGUUAUAAAAUUAGCUAGAUGAAGUUGCUGGUAUACAUAUCUAGUUACAUAUAAACCAGAUAUCUAUUUAUAAUCGUGCGGACGUAAAAAUCAGGU